This 303-nucleotide ribosomal RNA is filed under the name uncultured bacterium. RNAcentral's name for it is "partial 16S ribosomal RNA". It matches the Rfam family "Bacterial small subunit ribosomal RNA", at positions 507 to 807 of the family's 1533-position model. The record is from RNAcentral.
AGCAGCCGCCACGGUAAUACGUAGGGUGCAAGCGUUAAUCGGAAUUACUGGGCGUAAAGCGUGCGCAGGCGGUUUGUUAAGACAGAUGUGAAAUCCCCGGGCUCAACCUGGGAACUGCAUUUGUGACUGGCAAGCUAGAGUGUGGCAGAGGGGGGUGGAAUUCCGCGUGUAGCAGUGAAAUGCGUAGAUAUGCGGAGGAACACCGAUGGCGAAGGCAGCCCCCUGGGCCAACACUGACGCUCAUGCACGAAAGCGUGGGGAGCAAACAGGAUUAGAUACCCCUGUAGUCCCUGUCUCUUAUAC